GCUCCCAUAGUUUAAUGGAUAGAACAGAGGUUUCCUAAACCUCUAAUCCAGGUUCGACUCCUGGUGGGGGCACCC
Molecule: transfer RNA, 75 nt
Filed under: Candidatus Beckwithbacteria bacterium RIFCSPLOWO2_02_FULL_49_12
Lineage: Bacteria; Candidatus Beckwithiibacteriota
Also listed under: 1 other name
Description: tRNA-Arg
Rfam family: tRNA
About the family: Transfer RNA (tRNA) molecules are approximately 80 nucleotides in length. Their secondary structure includes four short double-helical elements and three loops (D, anti-codon, and T loops).
Source: RNAcentral